This 74-nucleotide transfer RNA is filed under the name Pteropus alecto (black flying fox). It matches the Rfam family "tRNA". From Rfam's summary of the family: Transfer RNA (tRNA) molecules are approximately 80 nucleotides in length. Their secondary structure includes four short double-helical elements and three loops (D, anti-codon, and T loops). The record is from Rfam by way of RNAcentral. Lineage: Eukaryota; Metazoa; Chordata; Mammalia; Chiroptera; Pteropodidae.
GGCUCCAUAGUGUAGUGGUUAGCAUGUCAGCUUUACACGCAAAAAAUCCUGGGUUCAAGCCCCAGGUGGAGCCA